RNAcentral lists this ribosomal RNA (819 nucleotides) under uncultured bacterium. RNAcentral describes it as "bacterial SSU rRNA". It matches the Rfam family "Bacterial small subunit ribosomal RNA", at positions 1 to 811 of the family's 1533-position model. The record is from RNAcentral.
CCCUUAGAGUUUGAUCCUGGCUCAGAGUGAACGCUGGCGGUAGGCCUAACACAUGCAAGUCGAACGGCAGCACAGUAAGAGCUUGCUCUUACGGGUGGCGAGUGGCGGACGGGUGAGGAAUACAUCGGAAUCUACUCUGUCGUGGGGGAUAACGUAGGGAAACUUACGCUAAUACCGCAUACGACCUACGGGUGAAAGCAGGGGAUCUUCGGACCUUGCGCGAUUGAAUGAGCCGAUGUCGGAUUAGCUAGUUGGCGGGGUAAAGGCCCACCAAGGCGACGAUCCGUAGCUGGUCUGAGAGGAUGAUCAGCCACACUGGAACUGAGACACGGUCCAGACUCCUACGGGAGGCAGCAGUGGGGAAUAUUGGACAAUGGGCGCAAGCCUGAUCCAGCCAUACCGCGUGGGUGAAGAAGGCCUUCGGGUUGUAAGGCCCUUUUGUUGGGAAAGAAAUCCAGCCGGCUAAUACCUGGUUGGGAUGACGGUACCCAAAGAAUAAGCACCGGCUAACUUCGUGCCAGCAGCCGCGGUAAUACGAAGGGUGCAAGCGUUACUCGGAAUUACUGGGCGUAAAGCGUGCGUAGGUGGUCGUUUAAGUCCGUUGUGAAAGCCCUGGGCUCAACCUGGGAACUGCAGUGGAUACUGGGCGACUAGAGUGUGGUAGAGGGUAGCGGAAUUCCUGGUGUAGCAGUGAAAUGCGUAGAGAUCAGGAGGAACAUCCAUGGCGAAGGCAGCUACCUGGACCAACACUGACACUGAGGCACGAAAGCGUGGGGAGCAAACAGAUUAGAUACCCUGGUAGUCCACGCCCUAACGAUG